GCCUCGGCCUCCCAAAGUGCUGGGAUUACAGACGUGAGCCACCACGCCUGGCCUAUACAUUGUAUAAUAUAUUUUAAAACUUAUUUAUUCAGUCUCCUGUAAAUAGGCAUUUAAAUCUUCCUAAUUUUUUAUUAUUAUAAACAGUGCUGCAAAGAACAUUCUUAUACAUGUGUCCUUAUGCAUGUGUGAGAGUUUCUGUAAAUAUACAGGGCUGUAGUUUCCAAGAUAUGAACAUUUUAACAUUAGUGGAUAUUGCUCAGUUGCUCUUAAACUUUUAUCAAUGUUGUGAAAAGUUUCUAUUAUUCAACAUCUUCAUUGAUACUCACAUUUUAUGAUAUGAUUUACACUUUGCUCUUUUGAGAGACCAGCUAUUUCAUGCUGAACAGAGAUAUCACAGUCAAAUUGAUGCAUAGGACACAAGCAGUUUUAGAUAUUCUUGUAUACUUUCAGUGAAAACUUUAAAGACAUAUUACUUUGGGGUAGUUCUGCAAAUUUUUGCAGGUCUUUUUGACUGACUUUAUCUUUUUUAUUAGGAGAAAUGAGUCUCUACUUGGACUAAUAAAAGUGAAAUAUAAGGAUAGUGCUUUGAAUAAAAAAGCAAACAAAUCUUUAAAGUUCAAAGCUGCAGUAAUGGAAAUUGGAAGAGUAAGUUUCCUAUGAGUUUUGAAUUUUAGGUAAUGAAAUUAAGAGAUUCAUGUAUCUAGAGAUGAUUGGCUACAUUUAAACUCAUUAUAAUAUGAAACAGAAGGAUAUACUAACAAGCAUAAUUUUAUAAUUACACAAUACAACUUUUAGAUUAACAUGUAGAUAUUGUUAUAAUCAGAUUUUUUUUGUCUACAGGGGUACUUCUGCUGCCUUUGAUAGUAAUUUUAAUUGAGGAUAUAAACUACUGUAUUUCAAUGUCAAGAGAUAAGCAUUAGAGUAUGAAUAAAUUAUACUACUGUGUUCAAAGUUUAAAUUUAACUUGUAACAUUUUAUCUCCUCUAUUAAGAGUGCAGAAAUGCAACAAAGAAUAAGAAGUAAAAAAAAGGAAACUCUAAGAGAUUUCAUUUUUAAAAAUCCGGCUAUUUCUGAAAUGGUGGCACAUGAAAGGUAUUCACUAAUUAAUUAAUUCAAUAAAAGUUUACUUGAGGGUAACUAUGUGUUGGGCAUUAUUUUGGGUACUAGGGAUACACUGGUGGACCAGACAGGUGAAAUCACUGCCUUCAAGGAACUUACAUACUAAUGAAAAAAGCAUAGUAAACAAGUAAACACCUAAAUAAACAAGACAGUUAAAAAUGGUGAUAAAUGUUAUAAAGUAAAUGAACUAAUAUAGAAUAUUUGGCUUGGCAUGAAGGUGGUGGUGGCAAUAGUUUAGAUAGGGUGGUUAGGAGAACAAAUUGGUAAAUUAUCAGUGAACCUAAAGUUCUUGAUUAUAAAAUAUAUUAUGGCAAAAUGUUUAGUUUCUGUUUUUUUAAGUACACAUUAUAAGUACACAUGUGUAAGAAUUUUUUAUUCUUAUACAUUCUUUAUAUAUCUUACCUUCAUUAUCUAAUGUUUUUCUAUACCUGUUUAGUGAUUUUGAUUUUAAUUUACACCGCAUAGAUAUUAAUAGAACCAAUUCCACUUUGUUUUUAUUUGCAUUUGCCUACUAUCUCUUUGAUUAUUCCUUCAUUUUCUUUAUUUAAAUUAUGACAUAUUUUUAGAUAGGUAUAAAAAUAAUAUAACAACUAUGCAACUUAACAUGUAAAACCUUUCAAACACAGUUGAAAUCCCUGUGUACCCGUGUUGGUAUGCAUUUCUGUUUUCCUCUAUCCUGGAAAUAAUACUAUGCCAAAAUUUCGUGUUUAUUAUGCUGAUGAGUGAAUUCAUAUGUCAACCACAUAUGUAUGUAGCCCCAAAUAAUGCAUGCUGUAAUUUUUUUCCAAUUUGCUUUGGAAAUUUGCCUUUUUUCUCUCAAUAUUAUGUUUGUGAUUUUUUGAAAUGUCACUUAUACGUAAGUCUACUUUAUUAAUUUCACUGCUGAA
This 2006-nucleotide long non-coding RNA is filed under the name Homo sapiens (human). RNAcentral's name for it is "HSALNT0369959". The record is from RNAcentral. Lineage: Eukaryota; Metazoa; Chordata; Mammalia; Primates; Hominidae.